GUGUCAGCCGCCGCGGUAAUACGAAGGGUGCGAGCGUUAAUCGGAAUUACUGGGCGUAAAGCGCGCGUAGGUGGUUUUGUAAGCGAAAUGUGAAAUCCCCGGGCUUAACCUGGGAACUGCAUAUCGAACUGCAAGGCUAGAGUAUAGUAGAGGAGUGUGGAAUUCCCGGUGUAGCGGUGAAAUGCGUAGAUAUCGGGAGGAACAUCAGUGGCGAAGGCGGCACUCUGGACUGAUACUGACACUGAGGCGCGAAAGCGUGGGUAGCGAACAGGAUUAGAUACCCUGGUAGUCC
RNAcentral lists this ribosomal RNA (292 nucleotides) under uncultured bacterium. Its description in RNAcentral is "partial 16S ribosomal RNA". It matches the Rfam family "Bacterial small subunit ribosomal RNA", at positions 505 to 796 of the family's 1533-position model. The record is from RNAcentral.